GGAAACAAGGUUUCCGUAGGUGAACCUGCGGAAGGAUCAUUACAACAAGGUUCCCUGGCCCUCGAAGCUUCGGCGGAGGGGGCUACAGCCUGACUUUAUACCCACCCUUUGCCUAUGUGUACCCCUAUUGCUUCCCUCGGCGGGUUCGCCCGCCGACAGGAACCAACUAAACCCUUUGCAUUAUACAUUUAACACUUCCGAUACAAAACUAAAUUAUUACAACUUUUAACAAUGGAUCUCUUGGUUCUGGCAUCGAUGAAGAACGCAGCGAAAUGCGAUAAGUAGUGUGAAUUGCAGAAUUCAGUGAAUCAUCGAAUCUUUGAACGCACAUUGCGCCCCUCGGUAUUCCGUGGGGCAUGCCUGUUCGAGCGUCAUUUACACCCUCAAGCUAUGCUUGGUGUUGGGCGUCUGUCCCGCCUUCGUGCGCGGACUCGCCUCAAAGUCAUUGGCAGCGGUCUCGUCGGCUUCUCGCGCAGCACAUUUGCGCUUCUCGCGUCCAGCAAGCGAUUUCAUGACUUGACCUCGGAUCAGGUAGGGAUACCCGCUGAACUUAAGCAUAUCAAUAAGCGGAGGA
This 574-nucleotide ribosomal RNA is filed under the name Periconia pseudobyssoides. Its description in RNAcentral is "partial 18S ribosomal RNA". The stretch from base 221 to 374 matches the Rfam family "5.8S ribosomal RNA". Lineage: Eukaryota; Fungi; Ascomycota; Dothideomycetes; Pleosporales; Periconiaceae. The record is from RNAcentral.